CGGGAGGCAGAGGCAGAGAGGCAG
This 24-nucleotide non-coding RNA is filed under the name Cricetulus griseus (Chinese hamster). Lineage: Eukaryota; Metazoa; Chordata; Mammalia; Rodentia; Cricetidae. The record is from RNAcentral.